Molecule: long non-coding RNA, 593 nt
Organism: Anopheles funestus (African malaria mosquito)
Lineage: Eukaryota; Metazoa; Arthropoda; Insecta; Diptera; Culicidae
Exons: 2
Source: RefSeq, a predicted model, not a curated record
GUAUUAAGAAAAGUUUGCACACUCGUCCACUCAACAUUCGAUACAUCCAAAGGAUUUUGUUAGACAAUUAAAAAUCGAACAGUCGAAAAGUUUCUUAACUGAUUGUAAUGGACCCCUGCAUUAAUUAUUUCUUUGAAUAAAAAAACCCUUGCCUUACUUACUUAUCGAUAAUAAUGAUUGCAUAUUUACCGUACUAAUUCGUUUAGCAUUUAGCUGGAUUGAUUAGUUCACUUUCCCUAUACUUCGCUACACUUGGUUAUAAAAUGGCUUUAUACUAUGAAACGAUUUUAAUCUUUUCGUAACGUUAAACGUGUACUAAAUAUAAUGGUGAGUUUUUCACAGAUGUUUUGGAUUAUUACCAUCUUUACGUUUGCACUUGGUACCGUGUUCACUGCUGGGUGUGGCCUAAACGAGAAGUACGAUGAUUGUGGGCCCAAGUAUGAGCUGAACUGCAACAUAAAAAAUAAUCCAACUGACACCGUUCAUUGCAUUCCGGGCUGUUUUUGUCAACUGGGCUACAUAAGAGGAUUUGAAGAUGGAAUUUGUAUCAAUGACAGCAGUUGUCCAUCGGUGAUUUGAAAUAAGUCUUACAU